RNAcentral lists this ribosomal RNA (277 nucleotides) under uncultured Staphylococcus sp. RNAcentral's name for it is "partial 16S ribosomal RNA". It matches the Rfam family "Bacterial small subunit ribosomal RNA", at positions 526 to 802 of the family's 1533-position model. Lineage: Bacteria; Bacillati; Bacillota; Bacilli; Caryophanales; Staphylococcaceae. The record is from RNAcentral.
CGUAGGUGGCAAGCGUUAUCCGGAAUUAUUGGGCGUAAAGCGCGCGUAGGCGGUUUUUUAAGUCUGAUGUGAAAGCCCACGGCUCAACCGUGGAGGGUCAUUGGAAACUGGAAAACUUGAGUGCGGAAGAGGAAAGUGGAAUUCCAUGUGUAGCGGUGAAAUGCGCAGAGAUAUGGAGGAACACCAGUGGCGAAGGCGACUUUCUGGUCUGUAACUGACGCUGAUGUGCGAAAGCGUGGGGAUCAAACAGGAUUAGAUACCCUGGUAGUCAAGGGCG